AUUGAACGCUGGCGGCAGGCCUAACACAUGCAAGUCGAACGGUAACAGGAAGCAGCUUGCUGCUUCGCUGACGAGUGGCGGACGGGUGAGUAAUGUCUGGGAAGCUGCCUGAUGGAGGGGGAUAACUACUGGAAACGGUAGCUAAUACCGCAUAAUGUCGCAAGACCAAAGAGGGGGACCUUCGGGCCUCUUGCCAUCGGAUGUGCCCAGAUGGGAUUAGCUUGUUGGUGGGGUGACGGCUCACCAAGGCGACGAUCCCUAGCUGGCCUGAGAGGAUGACCAGCCACACUGGGACUGAGACACGGUCCAGACUCCUACGGGAGGCAGCAGUGGGGAAUAUUGCACAAUGGGCGCAAGCCUGAUGCAGCCAUGCCGCGUGUAUGAAGAAGGCCUUCGGGUUGUAAAGUACUUUCAGCGGGGAGGAAGGGAGUAAAGUUAAUACCUUUGCUCAUUGACGUUACCCGCAGAAGAAGCACCGGCUAACUCCGUG
Molecule: ribosomal RNA, 490 nt
Filed under: uncultured bacterium
Lineage: Bacteria
Description: partial 16S ribosomal RNA
Rfam family: Bacterial small subunit ribosomal RNA
Source: RNAcentral